GCAAACUUGGUCAUUUAGAGGAAGUAAAAGUCGUAACAAGGUUUCCGUAGGUGAACCUGCGGAAGGAUCAUUAAUGAAUGAACUCGGGUCGAAGCUGAUUGCUGGUCCUUAGGGACAUGUGCACGCUUGGCUCUUGUUUUCAACCACCUGUGCACCUUUUGUAGAUUUCGGAGUUCCCUUUUUUCUUGUCAACUUUGGUUGGAUUGGAGCAAAUUGCCAUUGCUCUGGAUGGAUUGGGGGGUUGCUCCGGAUCUAUGUUUUUCAAUAUACACCUUUUGAUUGUCAUUGGAAUGUUUAUUGGGCUCUCAGGCCUAUAAUACUAAAAUUACAACUUUCAACAACGGAUCUCUUGGCUCUCGCAUCGAUGAAGAACGCAGC
This 378-nucleotide unclassified non-coding RNA is filed under the name uncultured fungus. RNAcentral describes it as "partial contains small subunit ribosomal RNA, internal transcribed spacer 1, and 5.8S ribosomal RNA". The stretch from base 1 to 73 matches the Rfam family "Eukaryotic small subunit ribosomal RNA", at positions 1759 to 1831 of the family's 1831-position model. The record is from RNAcentral. Lineage: Eukaryota; Fungi.